Molecule: ribosomal RNA, 190 nt
Filed under: Staphylococcus aureus
Lineage: Bacteria; Bacillati; Bacillota; Bacilli; Caryophanales; Staphylococcaceae
Description: partial 23S ribosomal RNA
Rfam family: Bacterial large subunit ribosomal RNA
Source: RNAcentral
GCAUAGCUGGGUAGCUAUGUGUGGACGGGAUAAGUGCUGAAAGCAUCUAAGCAUGAAGCCCCCCUCAAGAUGAGAUUUCCCAACUUCGGUUAUAAGAUCCCUCAAAGAUGAUGAGGUUAAUAGGUUCGAGGUGGAAGCAUGGUGACAUGUAGAGCUGACGAAUACUAAUCGAUCGAAGACUUAAUCAAAA